This 254-nucleotide ribosomal RNA is filed under the name uncultured prokaryote. RNAcentral describes it as "partial 16S ribosomal RNA". It matches the Rfam family "Bacterial small subunit ribosomal RNA", at positions 525 to 777 of the family's 1533-position model. The record is from RNAcentral.
AUGGGGGGAGCAAGCGUUGUUCGGAUUUACUGGGCGUAAAGGGCGGGUAGGCGGCCACCGCAAGUCAGUUGUGAAAUCUCUGGGCUUAACCCAGAAAGGUCAACUGAUACUGCGGGGCUAGAGUGCGGAAGGGGCAAUCGGAAUUCUCGGUGUAGCGGUGAAAUGCGUAGAUAUCGAGAGGAACACCUGAGGUGAAGACGGGUUGCUGGGCCGACACUGACGCUGAGGCGCGAAAGCCAGGGUAGCAAACGGGA